GUGGGGAAUCUUAGACAAUGGGCGCAAGCCUGAUCUAGCCAUGCCGCGUGAGCGAUGAAGGCCUUAGGGUUGUAAAGCUCUUUCAGCUGGGAAGAUAAUGACGGUACCAGCAGAAGAAGCCCCGGCUAACUCCGUGCCAGCAGCCGCGGUAAUACGGAGGGGGCUAGCGUUGUUCGGAAUUACUGGGCGUAAAGCGCACGUAGGCGGAUCAGAAAGUCAGAGGUGAAAUCCCAGGGCUCAACCUUGGAACUGCCUUUGAAACUCCUGAUCUUGAGGUCGAGAGAGGUGAGUGGAAUUCCGAGUGUAGAGGUGAAAUUCGUAGAUAUUCGGAGGAACACCAGUGGCGAAGGCGGCUCACUGGCUCGAUACUGACGCUGAGGUGCGAAAGCGUGGGGAGCAAACAGGAUUAGAAACCCGUGUAGUCC
This 425-nucleotide ribosomal RNA is filed under the name uncultured bacterium. RNAcentral's name for it is "partial 16S ribosomal RNA". It matches the Rfam family "Bacterial small subunit ribosomal RNA", at positions 354 to 796 of the family's 1533-position model. The record is from RNAcentral.